Prunus dulcis (almond) is the source of this 1025-nucleotide RNA transcript. RefSeq lists it as uncharacterized. The transcript is spliced from 5 exons. The record is from RefSeq and is a predicted model, not a curated record. NCBI's taxonomy places the organism in Eukaryota, Viridiplantae, Streptophyta, Magnoliopsida, Rosales, Rosaceae.
ACCCAAUAGAUGACUGUUAGGAAUGUAACCCAAAUUGGCCAAACAACAGGCAGAGCUUAGCAGAUUGUGCAAUUGGGUUUGGCCAAUAUGCUCUUGGAGGCAAAGGUGGUGAGUAUUAUAUUGUCAGAGACUCUUCUAAUGAUGAUGCUGUGAAUCCAAGGCCAGGCACUCUGAGUUAUGCUGUGAUACAGACUGAGCCUCUCUGGAUUGUGUUCCCUGGCAACAUGCUCAUCAAGCUCUCCCAAGAGCUCAUCUUCAACAGCUACAAGACCCUUGAUGGCCGUGGAGCCAAUGUCCACAUUGUGGGUGGUGGCUGCAUCACAUUGCAGUUCAUAAGCAAUGUCAUCAUCCACAAUGUGCAUAUCCACAACUGUUAUCCGUCAGGUGGGUUUUUCUGGUAAUGCAUCUUCAGCCCCUGAAUCAAGAAAUUGUAAAUUCUCCAGUAAUGUGAUGAUUCAUGCAGUUGACAAAUUCGGGAGCUUCUUAAGGCAAUUUCCUCUUUUUCCAAAUGCUUUUCUCGUUGGUGGUUGGUGCAGAAGACUUCUUUAUUAUUCAACUUGCAGGUCAGCUUCAAAAACUGAAGGUGGAACCAGCACAUAAAACUUCUCCAGGGCCUGAGUCAUUGGGUAUUAUUGUUGGAAUUAUUUUCUUGGUCUUGGGAAUCUUAUUCUAGUUUUUCAACUUCACUGCAGAUUCAAAUAGUUAAAACCUCCGCCGAGGACAAGAAAGAACACAAGCCACCUCUACAGCUGAGCUAACAAGAGAAAGAAUCCCUUCUAACAGAGAUCAAGGCAGAAAAAUCCUCUUCCACGACCCAAUAGCAUAUAUAUAAAGACCUAUUCAAACUCUUUUGAACAAUGAGCAACUCAAUAUUGUCGAUAUUUUGAUGUUUUGACUGCCACUUGAUUUAUUAAAAUAUAGUCAGUAUUUUAAUCAUGACAAACAGCAUAAAAAAACAUGUUAUUAUCCUAUUUUUUUGUAACUUAGACUUGCUAAACAAAGCAUGAUGCCACUAUUUAGAUAUC